This 495-nucleotide ribosomal RNA is filed under the name uncultured bacterium. Its description in RNAcentral is "partial 16S ribosomal RNA". It matches the Rfam family "Bacterial small subunit ribosomal RNA", at positions 28 to 506 of the family's 1533-position model. The record is from RNAcentral.
GAUGAACGCUGGCGGCGUGCCUAAUACAUGCAAGUCGAGCGAACAGACGAGGAGCUUGCUCCUCUGACGUUAGCGGCGGACGGGUGAGUAACACGUGGAUAACCUACCUAUAAGACUGGGAUAACUUCGGGAAACCGGAGCUAUACCGGAUAAUAUAUUGAACCGCAUGGUUCAAUAGUGAAAGACGGUUUUGCUGUCACUUAUAGAUGGAUCCGCGCCGCAUUAGCUAGUUGGUAAGGUAACGGCUUACCAAGGCAACGAUGCGUAGCCGACCUGAGAGGGUGAUCGGCCACACUGGAACUGAGACACGGCCCAGACUCCUACGGGAGGCAGCAGGAGGGAAUCUUCCGCAAUGGGCGAAAGCCUGACGGAGCAACGCCGCGUGAGUGAUGAAGGUCUUCGGAUCGUAAAACUCUGUUAUUAGGGAAGAACAAAUGUGUAAGUAACUAUGCACGUCUGGACGGUACCUAAUCAGAAAGCCACGGCUAACUACGU